RNAcentral lists this ribosomal RNA (468 nucleotides) under uncultured bacterium. Its description in RNAcentral is "partial 16S ribosomal RNA". It matches the Rfam family "Bacterial small subunit ribosomal RNA", at positions 28 to 507 of the family's 1533-position model. The record is from RNAcentral.
GACGAACGCUGGCGGCGUGCUUAACACAUGCAAGUCGAACGGAAAGGCCCUGCUUUUGUGGGGUUCUCGAGUGGCGAACGGGUGAGUAACACGUGAGUAACCUGCCCUUGACUUUGUGAUAACUUCAGGAAACUGGGGCUAAUACCGGAUAGGAGCUCCUGCUGCAUGGUGGGGGUUGGAAAGUUUCGGCGGUUGGGGAUGGACUCGCGGCUUAUCAGCUUGUUGGUGGGGUAGUGGCUUACCAAGGCUUUGACGGGUAGCCGGCCUGAGAGGGUGACCGGCGACAUUGGGACUGAGAUACGGCCCAGACUCCUACGGGAGGCAGAAGUGGGGAAUAUUGCACAAUGGGCGGAAGCCUGAUGCAGCAACGCCGCGUGCGGGAUGACGGCCUUCGGGUUGUAAACCGCUUUCGCCUGUGACGAAGCGUGAGUGACGGUAAUGGGUAAAGAAGCACCGGCUAACUACGUG